RNAcentral lists this small nuclear RNA (159 nucleotides) under Lates calcarifer (barramundi perch). Its description in RNAcentral is "U1 spliceosomal RNA (ENSLCAG00010009492.1)". It matches the Rfam family "U1 spliceosomal RNA". Rfam says of the family: U1 is a small nuclear RNA (snRNA) component of the spliceosome (involved in pre-mRNA splicing). Lineage: Eukaryota; Metazoa; Chordata; Actinopteri; Centropomidae. The record is from Rfam by way of RNAcentral.
AUACUUACUGGCAGGGAGAUACCAUGAUCAAGAAGGUGGUUCAGGGGCGAGGCUCAGCCAUUGCACUCCGGUUGCGCUGACCCCUGCGAAUUCCCCAAAUGUGGGAGUCUCGACUGCAUAAUUUCUGGUAGUGGGGGACUGCGUUCGCGCUCUCCCCUG